Molecule: ribosomal RNA, 460 nt
Filed under: uncultured bacterium
Lineage: Bacteria
Description: partial 16S ribosomal RNA
Rfam family: Bacterial small subunit ribosomal RNA
Source: RNAcentral
CCUACGGGAGGCAGCAGUGAGGAAUAUUGGUCAAUGGACGAGAGUCUGAACCAGCCAAGUAGCGUGAAGGAUGACUGCCCUAUGGGUUGUAAACUUCUUUUAUAUGGGAAUAAAAUGUUCCACGUGUGGGAUUUUGUAUGUACCAUAUGAAUAAGGAUCGGCUAACUCCGUGCCAGCAGCCGCGGUAAUACGGAGGAUCCGAGCGUUAUCCGGAUUUAUUGGGUUUAAAGGGAGCGUAGGUGGAUUGUUAAGUCAGUUGUGAAAGUUUGCGGCUCAACCGUAAAAUUGCAGUUGAAACUGGCAGUCUUGAGUACAGUAGAGGUGGGCGGAAUUCGUGGUGUAGCGGUGAAAUGCUUAGAUAGCACGAAGAACUCCGAUUGCGAAGGCAGUUCACUGGACUGCAACUGACACUGAGGCUCGAAAGUGUGGGUAUCAAACAGGAGUAGAUACCCGGGUAGUC